RNAcentral lists this ribosomal RNA (422 nucleotides) under uncultured eukaryote. Its description in RNAcentral is "SSU rRNA". It matches the Rfam family "Eukaryotic small subunit ribosomal RNA", at positions 592 to 1018 of the family's 1831-position model. The record is from RNAcentral.
CAAUAGCGUAUAUUAAAGUUGUUGCGGUUAAAAAGCUCGUAGUUGGAUUUCUGCUGAGGACGAUCGGUCCGCCCUCUGGGUGAGCAUUGACUCGGCCUUGGCAUCUUCUUGGAGAACGCUACUGCACUUGACUGUGUGGUGCGGUAUCCAGGUACUUUUACUUGAGGAAAUUAGAGUGUUUCAAGCAGGCGCACCGCCUUGAAUACAUUAGCAUGGAAUAAUAGGAUAGGACCUUGGUUCUAUUUUGUUGGUUUCUAGAGCUGAGGUAAUGAUUAAUAGGGAUAGGUUGGGGGCAUUAGUAUUUAAUUGUCAGAGGUGAAAUUCUGGAUUUAUUAAAGACUAACUUAUGCGAAAGCAUUUGCCAAGGAUGUUUUCAUUAAUCAAGAACGAAAGUUAGGGGAUCAAAGACGUUCAGAUACCAU